GUCCGGCUGCGGCUGGGGAGCCGGGUCGGGCUGAGGCUCGGGCUGGGGUGCGGGGUCGGGCUGCGGCUCGGGCUCGGGUGCCGGGUCGGGCUCC
RNAcentral lists this transfer RNA (94 nucleotides) under Nocardioides szechwanensis. Its description in RNAcentral is "tRNA-Leu". The record is from RNAcentral. Lineage: Bacteria; Bacillati; Actinomycetota; Actinomycetes; Propionibacteriales; Nocardioidaceae.